RNAcentral lists this transfer RNA (74 nucleotides) under Cyanidiaceae sp. MX-AZ01. RNAcentral's name for it is "tRNA-Asn". It matches the Rfam family "tRNA". From Rfam's summary of the family: Transfer RNA (tRNA) molecules are approximately 80 nucleotides in length. The record is from RNAcentral. Lineage: Eukaryota; Rhodophyta; Bangiophyceae; Cyanidiales; Cyanidiaceae.
UCUCUGAUAGCUCAAUCUGGUAGAGCAAUUGACUGUUAAUCAAUGGGUUGUUAGUUCAAAUCUAACUCAGAGAG